This 303-nucleotide ribosomal RNA is filed under the name uncultured bacterium. Its description in RNAcentral is "partial 16S ribosomal RNA". It matches the Rfam family "Bacterial small subunit ribosomal RNA", at positions 507 to 807 of the family's 1533-position model. The record is from RNAcentral.
AGCAGUAGCCGCGGGAAUACGAGGGGGGCAAGCGUUGUUCGGAAUUAUUGGGCGUAAAGGGUGCGUAGGCGGUUCAGCAAGUCUCGUGUGAAAUCUUCGGGCUCAACCCGAAGUCUGCACGGGAAACUACUGGGCUUGAGUAAUGGAGAGGUGAGUGGAAUUUCCGGUGUAGCGGUGAAAUGCGUAGAUAUCGGAAGGAACACCUGUGGCGAAAGCGGCUCACUGGACAUUUACUGACGCUGAUGCACGAAAGCUAGGGGAGCAAACAGGAUUAGAUACCCCUGUAGUCCCUGUCUCUUAUAC